This is a non-coding RNA of Gasterosteus aculeatus aculeatus (three-spined stickleback), 359 nucleotides long. Lineage: Eukaryota; Metazoa; Chordata; Actinopteri; Perciformes; Gasterosteidae. The record is from RefSeq and is a predicted model, not a curated record.
CCAAUAACUGAAUUGGUGGACUGAAUGAAUACAGCAGUGGAUUUAAGAUGUAUCUCUCUGCUUCACAUCUUUGAAUUCUUCCUCUUUCUUCUCAGGAUACCAGAAACAGCUGGCAUACAGGAGGAGUGAUGGCUCCUACCCCCCCUACAGGAGGGAAGGUGCAAGCACAUGGAUCACGGCUUACGUGGUGAAGGUUUUCUCCAUGGCUCACUCCACCACCGGCAUCGACGAACAGCAGGUGUGCGACCCGCUCCUCUACCUGGUGAACAACAAACACCGGCUGCCCGGAGGGAACUUUGUGGAGGACAACCCUGUUUACGAUACUACCAUGACGGGCGGUCUCCUUAGAUGAGUGGAUG